CGACGGGAGUAGACAAUACAACGUGGUGGCCGACCGGCGCACGGGUGAGUAACGCGUAUGCAACCUACCUAUCAGAGGGGAAUAACCCGGCGAAAGUCGGACUAAUACCGCAUAAAACAGGGGCACCGCAUGGUGAUAUUUGUUAAAGAGAUUCGCUGAUAGAUGGGCAUGCGUUCCAUUAGGUAGUUGGUGAGGUAACGGCUCACCAAGCCGACGAUGGAUAGGGGAACUGAGAGGUUGGUCCCCCACACUGGUACUGAGACACGGACCAGACUCCUACGGGAGGCAGCAGUGAGGAAUAUUGGUCAAUGGGCGGGAGCCUGAACCAGCCAAGUCGCGUGAAAGGAAGAAGGAUCUAUGGUUCGUAAACUUCUUUUGCAGGGGAAUAAAGUGCAGGACGUGUCCUGUUUUGUAUGUACCCUGAGAAUAAGGAUCGGCUAACUCCGUGCCAGCAGCAGC
This 459-nucleotide ribosomal RNA is filed under the name uncultured bacterium. Its description in RNAcentral is "bacterial SSU rRNA". It matches the Rfam family "Bacterial small subunit ribosomal RNA", at positions 63 to 518 of the family's 1533-position model. The record is from RNAcentral.